RNAcentral lists this ribosomal RNA (428 nucleotides) under uncultured bacterium. RNAcentral describes it as "bacterial SSU rRNA". It matches the Rfam family "Bacterial small subunit ribosomal RNA", at positions 355 to 772 of the family's 1533-position model. The record is from RNAcentral.
UGGGGAAUUGUUCGCAAUGGGCGCAAGCCUGACGACGCAACGCCGCGUGGAGGACGAAGAUCUUCGGGUCGUAAACUCCUGUCGAGCGGGAAGAAACCCGCGGAGGUGAAUAGCCUCUGCGGUUGACGGUACCGCUAAACGAAGCCCCGGCUAACUCCGUGCCAGCAGCCGCGGUAAUACGGAGGGUGCGAGCGUUGUCCGGAAUCAUUGGGCGUAAAGCGCACGUAGGCGGUCCGUUAAGUCUCAUAGGUGAAAGGCUGGGGCUCAACCCCAUGCAUGCCGGGGAUACUGGCGGACUGGAGACAGGUAGAGGCGAGCGGAAUUCCGGGUGUAGCGGUGGAAUGCGUAGAGAUCCGGAAGAACACCGGAGGCGAAGGCGGCUCGCUGGACCUGAUCUGACGCUGAGGUGCGAAAGCGUGGGGAGCGAA